AACGCGAAGAACCUUACCAUCCUUUGACAUGGCGUGUUACCCAGAGAGAUUUGGGGUCCACUUCGGUGGCGCGCACACAGGUGCUGCAUGGCUGUCGUCAGCUCGUGUCGUGAGAUGUUGGGUUAAGCCCCGCAACGAGCGCAACCCACGUCCUUAGUUGCCAUCAUUCAGUUGGGCACUCUAGGGAGACUGCCGGUGAUAAGCCGCGAGGAAGGUGUGGAUGACGUCAAGUCCUCAUGGCCCUUACGGGAUGGGCUACACACGUGCUACAAUGGCGGUGACAGUGGGACGCGAAGGAGCGAUCUGGAGCAAAUCCCCAAAAGCCGUCUCAGUUCGGAUUGCACUCUGCAACUCGAGUGCAUGAAGGCGGAAUCGCUAGUAAUCGUG
RNAcentral lists this ribosomal RNA (387 nucleotides) under uncultured Methylobacterium sp. RNAcentral describes it as "bacterial SSU rRNA". It matches the Rfam family "Bacterial small subunit ribosomal RNA", at positions 958 to 1346 of the family's 1533-position model. The record is from RNAcentral. Lineage: Bacteria; Pseudomonadati; Pseudomonadota; Alphaproteobacteria; Hyphomicrobiales; Methylobacteriaceae.